GCCGAAGUGGCGGAACUGGCAGACGCGCGGGAUUCAAAAUCCCGUUCCCAUAACCGGGAGUGAGGGUUCAAGUCCCUCCUUCGGCA
RNAcentral lists this transfer RNA (86 nucleotides) under Planctomycetota bacterium. Its description in RNAcentral is "tRNA-Leu". It matches the Rfam family "tRNA". From Rfam's summary of the family: Transfer RNA (tRNA) molecules are approximately 80 nucleotides in length. Lineage: Bacteria; Pseudomonadati; Planctomycetota. The record is from RNAcentral.